RNAcentral lists this long non-coding RNA (1147 nucleotides) under Homo sapiens (human). Its description in RNAcentral is "HSALNT0224937". Lineage: Eukaryota; Metazoa; Chordata; Mammalia; Primates; Hominidae. The record is from RNAcentral.
CUUUGGAAGAGGCUCACUGAGGUGAGGAGAAAGAAAGGUAACUUCCUGAAGUCACAAAGCUAGGGAACACAGGGUGGCUACAUAAACCCACACAGCCUGCUGCAAUGUCCUCCACACGUCCUUUCUGAGGCACAUUCAUCAAAGGGAUGAAUAAGGUCCCGAGCAGCACCGAAUAUGCAUUUGAUGUUUGUCUUCCUGAAAGAUUACCUGUAAAUGACCCAUGUAAAAUGUUUAGCUGUCCCUGGCCGGCAGAAGGCACACACCCCCAAAAGGAGGCAAUGGAAACCAGUUCUCUAGCUCCUUUCUCUCACAAUAAAAAGGACCAAUAAUCUUUAAACAUCCAGAAGUUCUUUCUGUCUUGGAAAAGGCCUUCCAACAGGCCAGCAAGAGGAAACCAUAAAUCCUCCACGUUGAGCAAGAAACGUCUGCUUCAUAAAGGUAAAUUCAAUCUCAACUUUGAAGUAUAAAAAGUGAAGUAUGAGAAGUCAACGUAAGCCAACGACAAGGGAUCCCAGACAGCAGCAGGCGGGGAGCUUGGGCGGCAGGGCCACGGGCAGGCACAAAGACAGCCACAGAUCAGCUGCAGCCAGGGAGGCCGCUGGCCGGAGUCAGAUCAGAUCUGGCUGCCGGCGAUAUUGCCUCUCCAGGAGACAAAGCCAGGCGGCCACCGGAACCCACGGGUGGCUGCACAUCUGGAAAGCGGAGCCCCGGGAUGAAUUAUGCAUGGAUUACCUUGCACUUGCGCAGGAAUGUCUGUUUAUUCACAGCAGAGGAGCAGAGACAAGGAAACCUGUUUCACACCUGGCAUUUAAUUUAGAAGGGAUUGCUUCUCCGGCUGAAGGAAAAGCCAUCUGAACUGCGCAGUCCUGGCUCUGCACUGGGGUUCCCGCAGCCAGCGCGUUAUGUGCCUUAUGAAACCUAGAGCCUUAUUUUUCAAUGCACUCUGUAAGACUGUGUGUGCGUGCACGUGGUGGUGGGGGUGGUGAGUGUACAAAUGUGUGUGCACAUAGCCACUCCUAUGGGUGUAAGCACUGGACAUGGCCCACAUGGCAGGCACCCAAAGCAUAUCCGGCCCAAUCUCUAAGUGUCCCCCACCCCUUUUCGGCUUAGCUCCAUAAAAGUCACGAGGGACAGGGCGGGUGGCUCA